This is a non-coding RNA of Schistosoma curassoni, 45 nucleotides long. NCBI's taxonomy places the organism in Eukaryota, Metazoa, Platyhelminthes, Trematoda, Strigeidida, Schistosomatidae. The record is from Rfam.
AUCUAGCUGAACAGUCCUAAAUAGGACGAAACGCCCAUCCUGGAU